AUGUUGUGGUCCAUCCGCGCCACCGCCACCAAGUCAACAGGCGAGACUCCGUUCUUCCUCGUCUACGGAGCCGAAGCGGUUCUCCACGAGGUCAGGCAUCGCUUCGCGCGGGUCCUGGCGUUCGACGAGGCAUGUCGGGACGCCAUGCGGAGGAUGGACCUCGUGCUGGGAGAGGAACGCCGCCGCCAAGCCUCGCUCCAUGCGGCGAGGUACCAGCAAGCGCUGCGGCGGUAUCACUGCCGCAGCGUCCGCUCCAGGACGCUCGAGAUGGGCGAUCUCGUCCUGAGGCGGGUGCUCUCCAGGGAAGGGUUGCACAAGCUCUCAUCCAUGUGGGAGGGCCCGUUUAGGAUUGCCCGCGUCUUCAGCCUGGCGUUGUGCGCCUGGAGACGCGGGACGAGAUCCCCAUCCAGAACGCCUUGA
RNAcentral lists this ribosomal RNA (420 nucleotides) under Triticum aestivum (bread wheat). Its description in RNAcentral is "partial small subunit ribosomal RNA". Lineage: Eukaryota; Viridiplantae; Streptophyta; Magnoliopsida; Poales; Poaceae. The record is from RNAcentral.